UAACAAUGUUGAUCAUUGAAUUCGUUAUGUAUGUUGCAAUUGCUAAAGCCUAUCACAACAAUAAUGCAUCAACAAUAAUGCAGCAGCAACAGUGUAUUCAAGAUUGUUACCAACAUGCGACGACGGACCCAAUAGAUUUGAUGUAUUGCAUUCGGAGAUGUAAAAGUCUGCACCCACAUCACUAGUGCUUGGGCAGUUAUAAUGAAUGCUUUUGAGAUUCACAGAAUCUUUUUGGCUUAUAUUAUCUCGUUAUAGUCGGUGUGACAAACUCUUCUCUAUUUUAUGAUUAUCAAGAGACUAAUAAAAAUUAAAAAAGUAUAGUAUCAUUUUUUUUCUAGACUUUCACAACUCACAGAACCAGUGGUGGAGUUUAAUUGAGACAAGAGGGCAUGGCCCCAAAAUUUUGUUAAAAAAAUUAGUAAUACUUCUUCAAAAAAUAAAAAAUAGUUUAGUUGGCUCAAAUACUUUAUUAUGACUUAAAAUAUCAAAGUUCAAUUUUCAUCUCUAUUCAAUAAGUAAUACUCCCUCUACCUUUGAGUUCAAAUAUAAAAAAAUAGGUAUUUUUUAUUUAUGUAAUUUGAUAUUAUUUUAUAUUUUAC
This 599-nucleotide long non-coding RNA is filed under the name Arachis ipaensis. RNAcentral's name for it is "long non-coding RNA (AIPA_LNC001562)". Lineage: Eukaryota; Viridiplantae; Streptophyta; Magnoliopsida; Fabales; Fabaceae. The record is from RNAcentral.